Molecule: long non-coding RNA, 417 nt
Organism: Bradysia coprophila
Lineage: Eukaryota; Metazoa; Arthropoda; Insecta; Diptera; Sciaridae
Source: RefSeq, a predicted model, not a curated record
UAGUUGACGUUUUUGCUAAUGAAAAGAUUAAAUCAAAUGCAUUCGCGGAAAGAUGGAAAAAAUUAAAAUUCUAAAUGAAUUCGGGAACGUAUCUCAAUCGGUAAUCAAGAAACUAACAAAAUAUGCAAAGCCAAAAUUUAGAGUUUUCAUUCUACCCACCAUUACCACAGCGCUAAUGAAGUCUUUCGUGCUUGGAGUUGUAAUCUACGGCACCCAUGAGGCAAAAGUUUGGGGAACGACCAAUGAAACGGCUGAUCUUUGGAUGAAAAUAUUUAAAUCACAUAAGACGUAAAACAAGUACAAGACGAUUUUCUGUAAGAAUUUCUUUACAUUGUCGAGAUCGAAAUAGAGUUUACGUGUUUCCAUUAGAAAAAAUGAAUGUAGCCCCACGCAUUGAAUAAAAACUUUAAAGCAAUA